UUAGUCGCAUGCUGUAGACCCGAAGCGGGGUGAUCUAGCCAUGGGCAGGGUGAAGCGCCGGUAAGACGGUGUGGAGGCCCGAACCCACCAGGGUUGAAAACCUGGGGGAUGACCUGUGGUUAGGGGUGAAAGGCCAAUCAAACUCCGUGAUAGCUGGUUCUCCCCGAAAUGCAUUUAGGUGCAGCGUCGUGUGUUUCUUGCCGGAGGUAGAGCUACUGGAUGGCUGAUGGGCCCUACAAGGUUACUGACGUCAGCCAAACUCCGAAUGCCGGUAAGUGAGAGCGCGGCAGUGAGACUGCGGGGGAUAAGCUUCGUAGUCGAGAGGGAAACAGCCCAGAUCAUCGGCUAAGGCCCCUAAGCGUGUGCUAAGUGGUAAAGGAUGUGGAGUUGCUGUGACAACCAGGAGGUUGGCUUAGAAGCAGCCACCCUUGAAAGAGUGCGUAAUAGCUCACUGGUCAAGUGAUUCCGCGCCGACAAUGUAGCGGGGCUCAAGCACACCGCCGAAGCCGUGGCAUUCAUGAGUUUUCAUGGAUGGGUAGGGGAGCGUCCUGCAGCCGGCGAAGCCGCCGAGUGAUCGAGUGGUGGAGGCUGUGGGAGUGAGAAUGCAGGCAUGAGUAGCGCAUCACACGUGAGAAACGUGUGCGCCGGAUGACCAAGGGUUCCUGGGGCAGGCUAAUCCGCCCAGGGUAAGUCGGGACCUAAGGCGAGGCCGACAGGCGUAGUCGAUGGACAACGGGUUGAUAUUCCCGUACCCGCUGGUAUGCGCCAACGCCGAGCCCACUGAUGCUAAGACUCUGAAACCCUUCGUGGGCCUUCGGGCCUGUGGAUGGGCGUAGCGGUCGGUCCGAGGUGGUAGUAGGUGAGCGAUGGGGUGACGCAGGAGGGUAGCUCAGCCCAGGCGAUGGUUGUCCUGGGGUAAGCAUGUAGCCCGGGAGAUAGGCAAAUCCGUCUCUCGUUAAGGGUGAGAUGUGAUGCCGAGCCGUUUUAGGUGAAGUGAGUGAUCCCAUGCUGCCGAGAAAAGCCUCUAGUGAGUGUACCGGCGGCCCGUACCCUAAACCGACUCAGGUGGUCAGGUAGAGAAUACCAAGGCGAUCGGGUGAACUGUGGUUAAGGAACUCGGCAAAUUGCCCCCGUAACUUUGGGAGAAGGGGGGCCUCGUC
RNAcentral lists this ribosomal RNA (1160 nucleotides) under Actinomadura parmotrematis. RNAcentral's name for it is "Actinomadura sp. PM05-2 partial 23S ribosomal RNA". It matches the Rfam family "Bacterial large subunit ribosomal RNA", at positions 696 to 1757 of the family's 2925-position model. Lineage: Bacteria; Bacillati; Actinomycetota; Actinomycetes; Streptosporangiales; Thermomonosporaceae. The record is from RNAcentral.